RNAcentral lists this ribosomal RNA (507 nucleotides) under uncultured Diversispora. RNAcentral describes it as "SSU rRNA". It matches the Rfam family "Eukaryotic small subunit ribosomal RNA", at positions 569 to 1078 of the family's 1831-position model. Lineage: Eukaryota; Fungi; Glomeromycota; Glomeromycetes; Diversisporales; Diversisporaceae. The record is from RNAcentral.
AGCAGCCGCGGUAAUUCCAGCUCCAAUAGCGUAUAUUAAAGUUGUUGCAGUUAAAAAGCUCGUAGUUGAACCUCGGGGUCUACCCAUUGGUCAGGCUUAAUUGUCUGCACUGGUGAGAUGGAUCUCUACCUUCUGAGGAACUUUCAUGCCAUUUAUUUGGUGUGAUGGGAAAUCAGGACUGUUACUUUGAAAAAUUAGAGUGUUUAAAGCAGACUAUCGUCUGAAUACAUUAGCAUGGAAUAAUGAAAUAGGACGGACUGAUUCUAUUUCGUUGGUUUCUAGGAUCACCGUAAUGAAUUAAUAGGGAUAGUUGGGGGCAUUAGUAUUCAAUUGUCAGAGUGAAAUUCUUGGAUUCAUUGAAGACUAACUACUGCGAAAGCAUUUGCCAAGGAUGUUUCAUUAAUCAAGAACGAAAGUUAGGGGAUCGAAGACGAUCAGAUACCGUCGUAGUCUUAACCAUAAACUAUGCCCGACUAGGGAUCGGACGAAGUUAAUUUUAUAAUGACG